UAUGUGAUCGUCUCUCGCAUAUCAAUAAGCGGAGGAAAAGAAACUAACAAGGAUUCCCCUAGUAACGGCGAGUGAAGCGGGAAGAGCUCAAAUUUGAAAUCUUAAAGGGUUUCCCUUUACGAAUUGUAGUUUAAAGAAGUGUUUUCUGUUGAGGUUUUGGUAAAAGUUCUUUGGAAUAGGACAUCAUAGAGGGUGAGAAUCCCGUAUUUGACCUUUACUUUCAACUUUGUGAUACACUUUCAAAGAGUCGGAUUGUUUGGGAAUGCAGUCCAAAAUGGGUGGUAAAUUUCAUCUAAAGCUAAAUAUUGGCGAGAGACCGAUAGCGAACAAGUACCGUGAGGGAAAGAUGAAAAGAACUUUGAAAAGAGAGUUAAACAGUACGUGAAAUUGUCAAAAGGGAAGCGUUUGACACCAGUGUUGUUUUUCUGAAUAUCAAUUAAAGAACUGUUUAUGCUAAGUUGUUUAGACUUUAUCAGCUAACUGUUUAGUUUUGAGCUUUUCUUUAAUGCACUUUUCAGUUAACAAGUCAACAUCAAUUUCUUUUGCUGUAAAAAAGCUUGAGGAAGGUGGCUUGAGAUUCGUCUUAAGUGUUUAUAGCCUCUUGCCUAUGCAGUCGGAGAGAUUGAGGUCUGCAGCGUAGAUCCUUCGGGGCUAAAUGCAUUUGUGCUAAGUUAUAGCAUUUUAUAGACAACUUGUUGACUAUGAUUUGUCUUGUAGCUUACUCGCUUAUGUUAUUUUACCUACGCUUAGGAUGUUGAUCUACAGAGCGAGAGU
RNAcentral lists this ribosomal RNA (774 nucleotides) under uncultured Neocallimastigales. RNAcentral describes it as "partial large subunit ribosomal RNA". It matches the Rfam family "Eukaryotic large subunit ribosomal RNA", at positions 24 to 631 of the family's 3401-position model. The record is from RNAcentral. Lineage: Eukaryota; Fungi; Neocallimastigomycota; Neocallimastigomycetes; Neocallimastigales.